RNAcentral lists this ribosomal RNA (450 nucleotides) under Tephritomyia biformata. Its description in RNAcentral is "partial large subunit ribosomal RNA". The record is from RNAcentral. Lineage: Eukaryota; Metazoa; Arthropoda; Insecta; Diptera; Tephritidae.
AAUGAAUAACAUUUUUAAUGGCCGCAGUAAUUUGACUGUGCAAAGGUAGCAUAAUCAUUAGUCUUUUAAUUGAAGGCUUGUAUGAAUGGUUGGACGAAGUAUAAUCUGUUUCAUAAAAAUUUAUAAUAGAAUUUUAUAUUUUAGUGAAAAAGCUAAAAUUUUUUUAAAAGACGAGAAGACCCUAUAAAUCUUUAUAAUUCUUAUUAUUUUAUUUUUUUUGAUUAAUUUUGUUAUUAUAAUUAGAAUUAUUUUAUUGGGGUGAUAUUAAAAUUUAAAUAACUUUUAUUUUUUUUUUCCAUUAAUUUAUGUUUUGUUGACCCAUUAACAAUGAUUAUUAAAAUAAGUUACUUUAGGGAUAACAGCGUAAUUUUUUUGGAGAGUUCUUAUUGAUAAAAAAGUUUGCGACCCCAAUGUUGGAUUAAAAAAUAAUUUUAGGUGUAGAUGCUUAAA